UGCUCUUCGACAGAGCGCAUGCUCGUUGACCACCUGUCGUUCGGAGAAACAAUUCUUCACCAAUAUAUCCUGCAUGGGCUUCUACAUUUGUGCAUGGGUGGGAAAAGUAAAAGGCAUUCUCGAAUAUUCAUUCUGCGACAACUGGAGGACCUCUAGAGAAGGACAUGCCUGGAGCGCAUUCUUGUGUUCUGCUGCUUGGAAUGCUGGCAAGCUUUUGUGCGCAAAGCGAGCAGUCGGGCGGUUGGACCAACCUCAAGCAUCCAGAUAAGCCAAGACUCCGCGCCCGAGCGGAGUACGCCUACCGCGAGCACUAUCACUGUAUGUGUGCCUUGGAGAUACAUGUGACAUUGGCUAAAAAGCAGAUAGUUUCUGCUAUAAGAUACUUCCUGCUGUUCACUGCAAAAUGUCACCAUGGUAAAAUGGAGAAGUGUGUUGCCCUUGUCCGGAUUCCGCCGGUCAUAAAACUGCAAAAACGAGAAGUUUCCAAGUUUCGAUGCUUCUGAAUAUUGGAGAGGAUGGUCCGGACGAAAAAUUCAUUCAUGCUUAUGAAGCCGACAAAUAUUGCCUUCGUGUUAAAAUAUAUAUGGCCUGCAUUUUCCACUCGCAUGCAUUAUAUGCAUCGCUUAUGGGAUAGCGAAAAUCGAAUACCGAGUCAUAUCAAGGGCACAAAACAUAAAUAUGGAAUAUCUGUUAUAAACCUA
Rhipicephalus microplus (southern cattle tick) is the source of this 701-nucleotide long non-coding RNA. The record is from RefSeq and is a predicted model, not a curated record. Lineage: Eukaryota; Metazoa; Arthropoda; Arachnida; Ixodida; Ixodidae.